AGCAUCUUGGGGCGCAGCAAACUUGCGAGGCUGCUGGUUCGUUUCCGCUUGUGAGACAUACGUCUGUGUAGUUUUUAGAAAUAUGCCUCAUUCUAUAUCUAGCAUGAGACUGCUGGUCAGGAUCCUCAUUUGAUUUAAACAUAGCCGUUGUUGAGAACUUGCGCUAUUCUUAGAGGGCCCACAUCUAGGACACUAGCGGACUCUUAUGGAGAGGACCGGGGGCGGCCGGCGCUGAGGAUCAGGUGAGAGGCGUCUGUCAAAUGAGUGACUACGCCCGAACUGACGCAAACACAAGAGCGGUGCUUUUCGGAACUCUAGGGGCCCCCAAGUCUCCUCUAACUUCAAUUUCAGGAGGCCGAGGUCGGAUUCGCUCUGAACAGAUUCGCAGAAGAGGCUCAGGAAUCAAUCGUCACAAAACUUAGUGCUGUGAUAUUUCACCAAGCUGCCGCAUGUGCUAACCUUUAGCAAAAAAAAUUAAGAUGCCACUGUUAGACUACACAAAGGAGCAACAACUCAGAGAAAAAUGGGAGUCUGCCAACUGCAGAAACAUAUUGUCCAGGAAAAGUCACUGAUAGUAAAGAACUUCCUCUCUCCUUAUAUAAGCUACCAGAUGUAUGGAACUGAAUUUAAAAAAGAAAAAAAAGAAACCUGUGAGUCAUUGGGU
Molecule: long non-coding RNA, 664 nt
Filed under: Fukomys damarensis (Damara mole-rat)
Lineage: Eukaryota; Metazoa; Chordata; Mammalia; Rodentia; Bathyergidae
Description: lncRNA (ENSFDAG00000025955.1)
Source: RNAcentral